This 520-nucleotide ribosomal RNA is filed under the name uncultured bacterium. RNAcentral's name for it is "bacterial SSU rRNA". It matches the Rfam family "Bacterial small subunit ribosomal RNA", at positions 8 to 518 of the family's 1533-position model. The record is from RNAcentral.
AGAGUUGAUCAUGGCUCAGGAUGAACGCUAGCUACAGGCUUAACACAUGCAAGUCGAGGGGCAGCAUGUGGUUGCUUGCAACCAAUGAUGGCGACCGGCGCACGGGUGAGUAACGCGUAUCCAACCUUCCCUAUAGUAGAGGAUAGCCCGGCGAAAGUCGGAUUAAUACUCUAUGUUUUCCAAUGCAGACAUCUAAGUUGGAACAAAGGUUCACCGCUAUAGGAUGGGGAUGCGUCUGAUUAGAUAGUCGGCGGGGUAACGGCCCACCGAGUCGACGAUCAGUAGGGGUUCUGAGAGGAAGGUCCCCCACAUUGGAACUGAGACACGGUCCAAACUCCUACGGGAGGCAGCAGUGAGGAAUAUUGGUCAAUGGGCGAGAGCCUGAACCAGCCAAGUAGCCGUGCAGGAUGACGGCCCUAUGGGUUGUAAACUGCUUUUAUACAGGGAUAAAGUGACGUACGUGUACGUUUUUGUAGGUACUGUAUGAAUAAGGACCGGCUAAUUCCGUGCCAGCCGCGGC